Molecule: ribosomal RNA, 440 nt
Filed under: uncultured bacterium
Lineage: Bacteria
Description: partial 16S ribosomal RNA
Rfam family: Bacterial small subunit ribosomal RNA
Source: RNAcentral
CCUACGGGAGGCAGCAGUGGGGAAUAUUGCACAAUGGGGGAAACCCUGAUGCAGCGACGCCGCGUGAGUGAAGAAGUAUCUCGGUAUGUAAAGCUCUAUCAGCAGGGAAGAAAAUGACGGUACCUGACUAAGAAGCCCCGGCUAACUACGUGCCAGCAGCCGCGGUAAUACGUAGGGGGCAAGCGUUAUCCGGAUUUACUGGGUGUAAAGGGAGCGUAGACGGCGCUGCAAGUCCGGAGUGAAAGCCCAUGGCUUAACCAUGGUACUGCUCUUGGAACUGCAUGGCUGGAGUACAGGAGGGGCAGGCGGAAUUCCUAGUGUAGCGGUGAAAUGCGUAGAUAUUAGGAGGAACACCGGUGGCGAAGGCGGCCUGCUGGACUGUGACUGACGUUGAGGCCCGAAGGCGUGGGGAGCAAACAGGAUUAGAUACCCUUGUAGUC